UACGGAGGGUGCAAGCGUUAUCCGGAUUCACUGGGUUUAAAGGGUGCAUAUGGCGGGCAAGGUAAGUCAGUGGUGAAAUCCUAGAGCUUAACUCAUAGAACUGCCAUUGAUACUAUCUGUCUUGAAUAUUGUGGAGGUAAGCGGAAUAUGUCAUGUAGCGGUGAAAUGCUUAGAUAUGACAUAGAACACCUAUUGCGAAGGCAGCUUACUACGCAUAUAUUGACGCUGAGGCACGAAAGCGUGGGGAUCAAACAGG
Molecule: ribosomal RNA, 256 nt
Filed under: uncultured bacterium
Lineage: Bacteria
Description: partial 16S ribosomal RNA
Rfam family: Bacterial small subunit ribosomal RNA
Source: RNAcentral